CUGGAACCGGGAGAGGUAAGAGGUACUACAGGGGUAGGAAGUGAAAUCUUGUAAUCCCUGUGGGACCACCUGUGGCGAAGGCGUCUUACCAGAACGGGUUCGACGGUGAGGGACGAAAGCUGGGGGGCACGAACCGGAUUAGAUACCCGGGUAGUCCCAGCCGUAAACGAUGCUCGCUAGGUGUCAGGCAUGGCGCGACCGUGUCUGGUGCCGCAGGGAAGCCGUGAAGCGAGCCACCUGGGAAGUACGGCCGCAAGGCUGAAACUUAAAGGAAUUGGCGGGGGAGCACAACAACGGGUGGAGCCCUGCGGUUUAAUUGGACUCAACGCCGGACAACUCACCGGGGGCGACAGCAAUAUGUAGGCCAAGCUGAAGACUUUGCCUGAAUCGCUGAGUAGAGGUGCAUGG
This 408-nucleotide ribosomal RNA is filed under the name uncultured archaeon. Its description in RNAcentral is "bacterial SSU rRNA". It matches the Rfam family "Archaeal small subunit ribosomal RNA", at positions 593 to 997 of the family's 1478-position model. The record is from RNAcentral.